Molecule: long non-coding RNA, 224 nt
Filed under: Linum usitatissimum (flax)
Lineage: Eukaryota; Viridiplantae; Streptophyta; Magnoliopsida; Malpighiales; Linaceae
Description: long non-coding RNA (LUSI_LNC002581)
Source: RNAcentral
GCGUAUCAAACCUUAAACGAACACGUACUAUUGACAAACAUCACGUCUGGGAAGUUGGGCACUACAUCAAGCUAGUGUGAACUCAUACCAAGCACAUCGAACAUCAUGAGAGAAUCGUUUCCUCUGUUUACGUCUCCCCUUAAUUUUAAGAAAAAUGCACGCGUUUACUGACAUGUAGAGGUGGUGAGAUCUUGUCUAUUGAAUGUUAUAAUAGUAAGCUGGAU